CACAACAAAGAGACACAUCAGUUGUGGACGGAAAUGUCACAGUGGAAGAAAAAACCAAAAGAAUCUCAGUUGAGUCCCUUCAACAUUCAAAAGCACAACAAAGUAACACGUCAGUUAUGGACGGAAAUAUCACAGUGGAAGAAAAAACUGAAACUAGACAACAAAGAAGAAAGGCAGCACUUUCUGAAGAAGAGGAUACAUCUAACUCUUGUCUAAGAAAAGAUUCACAACUAAUCUCUGAUGAAUCUUCACUUACCUUCCAAGGUCCUGUAGUAAAAACAACGGGGAAAGUAGCUCAGACAUCAUUUCAUGAAGGGGAUAUGCAAAUAAUAAAGG
Molecule: long non-coding RNA, 336 nt
Organism: Ruditapes philippinarum (Manila clam)
Lineage: Eukaryota; Metazoa; Mollusca; Bivalvia; Venerida; Veneridae
Exons: 2
Source: RefSeq, a predicted model, not a curated record